AAGCAAUCCCUGAGUAAAGUGGCGCACGGGUGAGUAACACGUGGGUUAUCCGCCCUCUGGUGGGGAAUAACCCUGGGAAACCGGGGCUAAUACCGCAUAAGUCCGAGAGGAGAAAGCCGAAAGGCGCCAGAGGAGGAGCCCGCGGCCGAUUAGCUAGUUGGUGAGGUAAUGGCUCACCAAGGCGACGAUCGGUAGCCGGCCUGAGAGGGCACACGGCCACACUGGCACUGAAACACGGGCCAG
RNAcentral lists this ribosomal RNA (243 nucleotides) under uncultured bacterium. RNAcentral's name for it is "partial 16S ribosomal RNA". It matches the Rfam family "Bacterial small subunit ribosomal RNA", at positions 77 to 334 of the family's 1533-position model. The record is from RNAcentral.